This 279-nucleotide ribosomal RNA is filed under the name uncultured bacterium. Its description in RNAcentral is "partial 16S ribosomal RNA". It matches the Rfam family "Bacterial small subunit ribosomal RNA", at positions 506 to 784 of the family's 1533-position model. The record is from RNAcentral.
UGCCAGCCGCCGCGGUAAUACGGAGGGUGCGAGCGUUAAUCGGAAUUACUGGGCGUAAAGGGCGCGUAGGUGGUUUGAUAAGUCGGAUGUGAAAGCCCCGGGCUCAACUUGGGAAUUGCAUUCGAUACUGUCUGGCUAGAGUGUGGUAGAGGGAAGCGGAAUUCCGGGUGUAGCGGUGAAAUGCGUAGAUAUCCGGAGGAACAUCAGUGGCGAAGGCGGCUGCCUGGCUCAAUACUGACACUGAGGUGCGAAAGCGUGGGGAGCAAACAGGAUUAGAUA